AACCUAGCACACCUGCGGUGUGUACCUGCGGAAGGAUCAUUACAGAGUUACUACUCCAAACCCAUUGUGAACCUUACCUAUGUUCUGUUGCCUCGGCGGCGUGGUCAGCGCCCCUCUGAAAAGAGGACGAUGCCCUCCCGCCGGCAGCACCAAACUCUUGAAUUUUACAGCGGAUUACAGUUCUGAUUUGAAAACAAAAAACAAGUUAAAACUUUCAACAACGGAUCUCAGAUCGGAAGA
RNAcentral lists this unclassified non-coding RNA (240 nucleotides) under soil metagenome. RNAcentral's name for it is "partial contains 5.8S ribosomal RNA, internal transcribed spacer 2, and large subunit ribosomal RNA". The record is from RNAcentral.